GCCCCCAUCGUCUAGAGGCCCAGGACGCCACCCUUUCAAGGUGGAGAUCAGGGGUUCGAAUCCCCUUGGGGGCACCA
RNAcentral lists this transfer RNA (77 nucleotides) under Chloroflexota bacterium. RNAcentral's name for it is "Chloroflexi bacterium (groundwater metagenome) tRNA-Glu". It matches the Rfam family "tRNA". From Rfam's summary of the family: Transfer RNA (tRNA) molecules are approximately 80 nucleotides in length. RNAcentral also lists the same sequence under 6 other names. The record is from RNAcentral. Lineage: Bacteria; Bacillati; Chloroflexota.